AUAUCUCUCUGUACGGGAAGGAUGAGAAGCUUCGACUAAGGUUCGAUUCGAGCGWNAGCGAGAAAGCGUUGCCGCAGGCAACGACCCGAAGGGCGAAACGCGCAGCGCUGAGUCAUCCUUCCCCCACCACCA
Molecule: small RNA, 132 nt
Filed under: Salmonella enterica subsp. enterica serovar Enteritidis str. SA20083636
Lineage: Bacteria; Pseudomonadati; Pseudomonadota; Gammaproteobacteria; Enterobacterales; Enterobacteriaceae
Also listed under: 1 other name
Description: RtT sRNA
Rfam family: RtT RNA
About the family: This family represents a bacterial cis-regulatory element known as RtT RNA. The exact function of RtT is unknown although it is thought that it may be involved in changing the cellular response in relation to amino acid starvation.
Source: RNAcentral